GUUCUUGUAGUUAAAGUUCAGUUUAACGGUGAUUUUUCAGGUCACAGAUCUCGGAGAGAGGCCGGGCAGGAAUA
Molecule: transfer RNA, 74 nt
Filed under: Climacteris rufus (rufous treecreeper)
Lineage: Eukaryota; Metazoa; Chordata; Aves; Passeriformes; Climacteridae
Description: tRNA-Glu
Source: RNAcentral